GACAAACGCUGGCGGCGUGCUUAACACAUGCAAGUCGAACGGAAAGGCCCUGCUUUUGUGGGGUGCUCGAGUGGCGAACGGGUGAGUAACACGUGAGUAACCUGCCCUUGACUUUGGGAUAACUUCAGGAAACUGGGGCUAAUACCGGAUAGGAGCUCCUGCUGCAUGGUGGGGGUUGGAAAGUUUCGGCGGUUGGGGAUGGACUCGCGGCUUAUCAGCUUGUUGGUGGGGUAGUGGCUUACCAAGGCUUUGACGGGUAGCCGGCCUGAGAGGUUGACCGGCCACAUUGGGACUGAGAUACGGCCCAGACUCCUACGGGAGGCAGCAGUGGGGAAUAUUGCACAAUGGGCGGAAGCCUGAUGCAGCAACGCCGCGUGCGGGAUGACGGCCUUCGGGUUGUAAACCGCUUUCGCCUGUGACGAAGCGUGAGUGACGGUAAUGGGUAAAGAAGCACCGGCUAACUACGUG
RNAcentral lists this ribosomal RNA (468 nucleotides) under uncultured bacterium. RNAcentral's name for it is "partial 16S ribosomal RNA". It matches the Rfam family "Bacterial small subunit ribosomal RNA", at positions 28 to 507 of the family's 1533-position model. The record is from RNAcentral.